Molecule: long non-coding RNA, 373 nt
Filed under: Rattus norvegicus (Norway rat)
Lineage: Eukaryota; Metazoa; Chordata; Mammalia; Rodentia; Muridae
Description: long non-coding RNA NONRATT025129
Source: RNAcentral
UCAGACUCCAGCUCAGAGUCCGAGCCUGAGGAGCCCCAGAACAGGAAGAAACUGCGGAUGGAGGCCAGCUAAGCCAUGCGGGGCAGGCCAGCGAGAAACUGUCUGCUCACCCGUUGCAGCCUCCUUCAGUUCAUCACUAGAACCCUCAGAACCAUUGAGAAGACUCUUUUCCUUUUCUCUCUAUUAAUUGUUAUUUUGCAUAGAAGCUCUUGGACAACAGCUCUCACCCCCUGCCCUGUGUCCACUAUUUUUAAACGUAUGCCCUUCAGGGGUUCCUGUCCCCACCAGAAAUUUUAAACCAAAACACCCUAACUUGGCAGCUCUUUCUGUGGAGGACAGACGGCCGGCCAGACCUCUGAGUACAUGGUGUCCU